Molecule: long non-coding RNA, 1721 nt
Organism: Musa acuminata AAA Group (dessert banana)
Lineage: Eukaryota; Viridiplantae; Streptophyta; Magnoliopsida; Zingiberales; Musaceae
Exons: 3
Source: RefSeq, a predicted model, not a curated record
CUCCAACUUGACUCGAGAAAACCCCAACCGGUUAUAUGCCAAGCCGGGCCGUCCUCCCCCAUCCCAAACCCAAACCAGGAGUACUUUGGUCGAACACCUUCGCUUCAACGCAAGAUGCUGCGCGAGUCCACGGGCAAGUCUCUCCUCCUUCUCCCUCGUCUUCUUCCGCUCCUCACUCGAAGAAACCGAAGGAACCAUCAUGAAAUCCUAAACUUCAUGGCUCUUUCUCUCUCAAAUCACGUUGGUCGCAAGAAGAAGAAGAAGGGUUCUAGGCCACCUGAUCGUGGGUUUAUUUCCUAUCACCUAUCAGCUCAGCUAUAGAGGGUUAUCUUUUACCAGUGUGAAGUCACCACUCUAAUAUGACUGCAGUCACCACUGAUACUAACUGCAUCUGUGGGAGAGUGAGCCUUAACAAGAUGGUGAAGUUGCUCUUUUGCAGCAUAGGUGAUUGAGUUCGAACCCCAGAAACAACCUUUAGAUUUACGGAGGGAAGACUAAGCUCCUCAAACUCCACCUUGGCGGCAGCCUCAUGCACUGAGUUGUCCUACAUUUAUAUUUUCCUGAGUGUCAAAGAAUAUUCCACUAAUCUGAUGAUAUUUUGACUGAGGAGAUUGCUCUCACUAUGGGGAUCAGCCAAUGAUUUGUUUGCGAACAUUAGCUGCCGGGAUUUGGGUUAACAAAAUGCUGUUUCUCUUUCUCCAGAGAUGCUGAGACACAGCAGGCUUUACUUGGUAUUUGCAUACAAGUACCUCACAUGGAUAUUCAAGAUUCUCGAUGAUGUUUAUUAUUGGGCCAACAAACCCAGCUCGACAAACAAAAUUUAAGAUCGUCUGGUAAGUAAUUGGACGCAGUCCAAUUUUCAGUUCUUGGUUUCAUUUAACUUUAUGCCUUUCAUAGAAUUGGUGUUUCAGAUUUGGCUGUACAUAGUGUUGUGUUGUUAAGAGUCGAAGACCAUGAUCAAUUGAACCCAUACCACAAGGAGCAAGCACUUGAAGGAUAGAAAAUCCGUAACCUUUUCCAUUUGAGUGGAAGCUCCAAAUUCCAUUUCCUAAAUUCUCAGUGUUCCAACUUGUUCCUCGUAUUCCAUUUAAAUGGAGCAUUUUCUAUGUUGUUCUCAAGAAAAUAUUGUUGUUGUGCAGAUCCCAGAAAUAUCUAGAAGAAGACACUGAAGACAGCUACCCUAGACUGCUUUUAAGAUGAGGCCAUGGUGUAGCUGUUGCUAGAAUUAUCGGCAUGGUCCUAAGAAUUUGUUGUGCCAUGAAGAAAACAGAGCAGUGAUACGGGUCCCCAGGGCCAUACCAGUGGUGUAAAGUUCAUCGUCUCGUGCCCCAUCUCACAUGUUGAUUCAUUUGCUGCAGCAUUGGAGUUGUUGGGGUGUUCUUGAGGACCCAAAACAUGACAGAGCCAUUUAGUCUUGUCAUAUCUAUUACAUUUCUGAUGGGGCAUACAAAAACUUGGACAUAGCUCAACCACAGAUGCCAGUGUCUCCCAUCUCCUCAACAUCUCACGGAAGAGCUUCUGACCUAAUUUGUCGGCACAACGAAAGCAGAGCGGGAAGUAAUUGCUUUCAACUUAAAGAGAAAAGUUCUCUGUUAACUCUCCCGAAUUCAUGAACAUGAUUGUAAAGUUGCUUCUUUGCAGUCUGAUGACCGACGAAUACCAAACCUCGUAUAUUAACCUUCCUUGUAUCAUUAUUCAUGUAUUGAUCACUAAAAAUAUAU